This 266-nucleotide long non-coding RNA is filed under the name Ananas comosus (pineapple). RNAcentral describes it as "long non-coding RNA (ACOM_LNC039918)". Lineage: Eukaryota; Viridiplantae; Streptophyta; Magnoliopsida; Poales; Bromeliaceae. The record is from RNAcentral.
UCUGUCUCAAAAGAUACAAAAAUGGUGGUCUCUAGUACACUGGUAAAACUCUCAACCUCUCGCAAAAUAAAACAUAAAUCGAGAGGUGGACCACCUAGCAACUCGUCCUCGAAGGAAGCUAGCUCGAAACAACUCCCUUCCCGCGAUCCCUGGCCUCACCCUGCGUGGAAGGCUCUGAAAAACAUCGAGAAAAAGAGGGCGUGAGAACUAUAAUUUAUAGUUCCCAGUGGGCAAUUACUCACCGCAGCUCAUUGCUCCACUAGGCC